This 336-nucleotide unclassified non-coding RNA is filed under the name soil metagenome. Its description in RNAcentral is "partial contains 5.8S ribosomal RNA, internal transcribed spacer 2, and large subunit ribosomal RNA". The stretch from base 1 to 120 matches the Rfam family "5.8S ribosomal RNA", at positions 35 to 154 of the family's 154-position model. The record is from RNAcentral.
GAUGAAGAACGUAGCGAAAUGCGAUAAGUAAUGUGAAUUGCAGAAUUCAGUGAAUCAUCGAAUCUUUGAACGCACAUUGCGCCCGCCAGUAUUCUGGCGGGCAUGCCUGUUCGAGCGUCAUUUCAACCAUCAAGCCCCCGGCUUGUGUUGGGGACCUGCGGCUGCCGCAGGCCCUGAAAACCAGUGGCGGGCUCGCUGUCACACCGAGCGUAGUAGAUUUUCAUCUCGCUCAGGGCGUGCUGCGGGUUCCGGCCGUAAAAAGCCUUAUUUACCCAAGGUUGACCUCGGAUCAGGUAGGAAGACCCGCUGAACUUAAGCAUACCAAUAAGCGGAGGA